This 539-nucleotide ribosomal RNA is filed under the name uncultured bacterium. Its description in RNAcentral is "bacterial SSU rRNA". It matches the Rfam family "Bacterial small subunit ribosomal RNA", at positions 34 to 610 of the family's 1533-position model. The record is from RNAcentral.
CGCUGGCGGCAGCCUAACACAUGCAAGUCGAACGUGAUCCAGGCUUCGGUCUGGUGAAAGUGGCAGACGGGUGAGUAACGCGUGGGAACCUGCCCUGUGGUAGGGAAUAACCGCGGGAAACUGCGGCUAAUACCCUAUGAGUCCUUCGGGAGAAAGAUUUAUCGCCAUAGGAGGGGCCCGCGUCGGAUUAGGUAGUUGGUGGGGUAACGGCCUACCAAGCCUUCGAUCCGUAGCUGGUCUGAGAGGAUGAUCAGCCACACUGGGACUGAGAUACGGCCCAGACUCCUACGGGAGGCAGCAGUGGGGAAUAUUGGACAAUGGGGGCAACCCUGAUCCAGCAAUGCCGCGUGGGUGAUGAAGGCCUUCGGGUUGUAAAGCCCUUUCGGCGGGGAAGAUGAUGACGGUACCCGCAGAAGAAGCCCCGGCUAACUUCGUGCCAGCAGCCGCGGUAAUACGAAGGGGGCUAGCGUUGUUCGGAAUUACUGGGCGUAAAGGGCGCGUANGCUGUGCUGUAAGUCAGGCGUGAAAGGCCCGGGCUC